AUUGAACGCUGGCGGCAUGCUUUACACAUGCAAGUCGAACGGCAGCGCGGGCUUCGGCCUGGCGGCGAGUGGCGAACGGGUGAGUAAUAUAUCGGAACGUACCCAAGAGUGGGGGAUAACGUAGCGAAAGUUACGCUAAUACCGCAUACGAUCUAAGGAUGAAAGCAGGGGAUCGCAAGACCUUGUGCUCCUGGAGCGGCCGAUAUCUGAUUAGCUAGUUGGUGAGGUAAAGGCUCACCAAGGCAACGAUCAGUAGCUGGUCUGAGAGGACGACCAGCCACCCUGGAACUGAGACACGGUCCAGACUCCUACGGAGGCAGCAGUGGGAAUUUUGGACAAUGGGGGCAACCCUGAUCCAGCAAUGCCGCGUGAGUGAAGAAGGCCUCCGGGUUGUAAAGCUCUUUUGUCAGGGAAGAAAAGGCUGUGGCUAAUAUCCACAGCUGCUGACGGUACCUGAAGAAUAAGCACCGGCUAACUACGUGCCAGCAGCCG
Molecule: ribosomal RNA, 492 nt
Filed under: uncultured bacterium
Lineage: Bacteria
Description: bacterial SSU rRNA
Rfam family: Bacterial small subunit ribosomal RNA
Source: RNAcentral